Molecule: long non-coding RNA, 10628 nt
Organism: Ornithodoros turicata
Lineage: Eukaryota; Metazoa; Arthropoda; Arachnida; Ixodida; Argasidae
Exons: 6
Source: RefSeq, a predicted model, not a curated record
UGCUGCCGCCGCCGCCGCUCUUCUGUAUCGGUCAGGGUUUCGAAAUACGCCCUCCCCGGAUCGGGUCGGAAGCGUUCAAAGCUCGGCGUGACAAACUCACGUGACCGUCUGCCGAGGACCGACGUCGAAGGGCCCUGUGAUACUCUCAUUCCUCGUCAUGUACGGAGACAGCCUCCGAAAGGGUUCUCAGCAGUACACAAUUCCUUGGCGGCGGCGUCUCCAUGCGCAGUGCAGCAACAGGAGCGAUUUGAGAGGACACACCUACAUCCGCGCUGCUGAAGUACAUAGUUGGUGAUAGGGCUGAUCGCUUUUCCACAUGAGCAGGAUUUACAUAAACGACGCUCCACACUGAGACAAGGGAUCGACAGGUAACAAAAUGGAUAUAGGACUCUACUACCUGUGAGGUUGCAGCGGACGCUCAAAGUCAGAAGGCAGCGAGCCGGAAUAUCCUGAAAAACCAACUUCUGCCGUCCAGCUCUCGACCAGCAGGCGAUGGAGAACACGCGGUAUGAAGACCCUGCAAGACUGGAGAACCUGCACAACGCGUCAAGUGACGGGUUUGCAAGGAUCGAGGCCCAUGCCCUGGAAGGGGAACACAGGUGGAAGUGGCUUUUCGUCCCGCUUGUAAUCGUCGUAAUCGGAAUUGCCGGUUCGGCUUGGAUCCCAUAUGGUACACGUAUGAAGGAACUGGGCGAAGCUACUGGCGAACUGGGAUGGACUCGCAGAGAACUACAAUUGGCUUCUGCCAAACUAGAAGAGACUAGUAGCAAACUACAGCAGCAAGGGAUUGAACUGGAGGAGACACGUAACGAACUCAAGCGCACUAAUGACAAGCUAGAGCGAGCUACUAUUGAACUGAAGGAGACUACUGGUGAACUGCAGCACACACGUAUAGCACUCAAGUUCACCGCUACAGAACUGGAAAAGACCCGUGGCGAACUGCAGCGGACUACUGAUGAACUGCGUCAGGCUACUGGAGAUAUGACGCGGCACGCUGGCAGACAGGAGCAGAAAAGUGACGAACUGCAGCACGAUAUUAGCCUGCUAUCUAAACACAUUAGUAACUUUCCCUAUAUCAUGAUAAUAAGCGUCCUAUUGUGGGCACUAUUCAUGGUCGGGUGUAGAAGGGGGAAAGAUUAGCGAUGCACUGACGCUCUUCAAAUGCUGCUUAUUACGGAAAAUUGAGUUUUCUGUUUUGAAGUGGUCAGUCAACUGAUUCGAAAUUUCACCAAUCGUCAAAGAUGCGAGAAACUUCGCUGAGUUUUACAAAUCGACGCAGUGUCUUUUUUUUUUUUCGUUUUGCUUUCUAGAAUACAUUUGGAAUUAUUAGGAAUAAUGUUUUUGAUCAUUGCUUGCUGUUACUUUGUUGCUAUUCCUUCCUUGCCAAAAUAGCACUAUACAGGGUGGUCUGCGAACCAUUACAGAAAUUCAUAGUAAAAAACCUAGGCCACGGAGAGACACGCGGUCAAGGGACUUUUUCUGCCAAUAACUUUUGCCACAUAUUGGUGACAUUUUUAUUUCAUUUCAAUUUGCGAAAAGUUAAUUUCUUGAACUACUAAAUUUCCCAAGGCAACCUAACGUUUUCAUUGCGGCAAUGGGUCCCCCUGGUCAUUCUGCUCAGUAUAGCACAUAAUCCCACUCGUAAUGCAAUGGCAAAUGCCGAAAUGAAUUCGCCGAAAAUACGCGGAAAUGAGCCCUUGGCUCUGCCUCUUUUUUGACGGCUCGUGGUUUGAGCGCAAAGCUGCGAAGAAAGGAGGUUACAUUGACAUGCCACACGAGGGGGAAAGGGUCACAAGCCUUACCCACGGAACAAACACGCGCGGUGAGUGCCGGAAUCAGAUCUAUCUUAUCACAAAUGAGAUCACCCGACGGCUUGUAACCCUUUCCCCCCUCGUGUGGCGUGUCAAUGUAACCUCCUUUCUUCGCAGCUUCGCGCUCAAACUGUGAGCCGUCAAAAAAGAGGCGGAGCCAAGGGCUUAUUUCCACGGAUUUUCGGCGAAUUUAUUUCGGAAAUUGCCAUUGCAUUAGGUGUGGGAUUAUGUGCUAUACUGAGUAAAAUGACAACGGGGAACCCAUUCCCGCAAAGAAAACGUGAGGUUGCCUUGGGAGAUUUCGGAGUUCAAUUCUAUUCAAGACGGAAAGAAAUCCUUUCCGUCAAUUGAAAUGGAAUAAAAAUGUUACCAAUAUGUGGCAAAAGUUAUUGGCAGAAAAAAAUCCCUUGACCGCAUGUCUCUCCGGGGCCUACGUUAUUUACUAUGAAUUUCUAUCAUGGUUGAUGGACCACCCCUGUAGUCGUAUAUGCUUUGGUGCUCCAUGUUUCAGAAAUACUGUCCACUUAAUGUACUCACACGUGUUUGUGUCUUAUUUUAUUCUCACGUAUAGUGUGUUUUCUAUGGCUCUUUACCUUUGCACGAUAUACGGAAGACCCUUUGACCGGGAAAUCUUCCCUCUGGGUCCUCCAUUGUCUCCUGAGUCCUGGGUGCUCGAUUGUGUGAUUUGAGUCAUGCACUUAAUCUGGUAUUUUUCCAAUAAAAAUGCAUAUAAUUCAGUUCACUUCAAUCCUAAGAUUUCCAAUAACAUCUGGCUUUAUCUGUUAGUCGCCCUAUGGACCGAAAGCAACUACGUGUUACAAAAUAAAAUAAUCAUGCAUUUGACGUGCGUUUAUCACGUGCAGCAGGGUUCUUUCUUUGUAAUAAUAAUAAUAAUAAUAAUAAUAAUAAUAGUGCAUUUCAUGUAGGGUGUUUGUAUACGGCAAUAUAUCUUAAUCGCAAGGCACUUUCUGUGCGCUGCCUUUUGGGCCAUGGUAUUAUGUUCUGUUACAAGAUCACACAUAGUAUUGUGGCUAGAUCUCCCCUAUUAGGGCAAUGGCAUUGUGAUUCCCACCAAUGUCAUCGGGCACACCAAUAUUUUGUAUACUUUCCACAGCACACCACUUAACCCCGUCUCACGAAUUCAGCGAGCCACAACUGCCCUCCAUUCCCAUGUCGAUCUCUUUGACUCCCGUACCAGUUCCAUGAGGGUAUUUCGAGGGAAUUCAGUGGACGCCACUUGGCACAGUCCAUUUACGUAAAAGUACACAUACAAACGCGCAGUCGUACCAUUCUGUAUUACUUUUUCUUUGUUACUUUUUUCAACACUGCUGGAAAGCAAUUUUAUUUGGCGCGGCAUAUCCUCUGCUGAUGAUUGAUUGAUUGAUUGAAAGACAUAUCCUCUGCUCUUUUGUUUUUAUGUAUGACUUUCAUUCACGUGUGGCUCUGCUUCGUGUGUAUGUCCUACAUGUUUGACUGCUGCAGUGCGGUAGAUGGGUAGCCUGUUGAUACAGUGGGAAGACAUGAUAAGAUGUAUGCAUAGUGGAGACAGAUGUAUGCAUCAGCAGCCCGUGGAUCAGUCUACUGCCAGCAAAGAUAGUGUAUCUGAAAGAGCAUGCGAUAGGAACGGUACCUGGUGUGUAGGUGUUACCCUAGCGAAAAUGUUGGCAGAGGCCACCAAGAUGUUUCAAUAGAUCAGUUCAUCCGUAGCGUGCAGCCAACUGUCCUGUCUUCUUUACUUUGUCCGUGUCCCAUGUGCGCUCUUAUUAAGUAUGUCUUCCCAAUGUUUGACUGCAACACUAUGUGCAUGCACAUGUUUUUUUAUGUAUUUAUCUUCGCGUGCCAACACUAAGGCCCCGUGCAGUGCUUUGGCACGUAAAGAGAUGUUAUUAUUAAAGAUUAUUAUUAUCAUUGUUAUUAUCAUCGAAACAACUGCUCCGAGAGAAGCGCCACUACUGCUCAGCAUAGCGCCACAACACAUAUUGGAUUCUUCGUAUAUUUGUUAUUUCUGUUUCUGACCUGUUUGAUUAUCAGGAACGGAUAGCACGCGCUCAGAGUGUUCCGUGUAACACCGCCCCCUCUUUUCGAAAUAGAUAAAAGUGGCGAACUUGUGCGACUGGUAUAGUACAAAGAGCAAGCUGUCACUCUGGCCGACCCGUCGACGGUUCACGGUGUGUCUUGUUGCAUUUGGAUGGCUGGUCAUCAAUCGCUUGUGGAAGAAAGAUAGAACGGGAUAAAAGAUCCAUUGGGAAAGAACAUCCAACGGGGUCGGGUGCCUGAGGGAAAAGAUCCAAAGUAAAAACAGAUCCAAACUUGAAAGAAGAUCCAGGCGAGUAUCACUCUGCUGUUCCAAGAGGGCAUGAUACCGUUAUGCAAUGGAUCCCAGCUCACGUAGGCAUUCCCGGAAAUGAAGCUGCCGAUGCUUUGGCUGUAAUGACACACCUGAAAACGAGCAAGACCCUUGUAUAUUUCACGGCGUCGGACGCCGAGAGAAUGCUUCGUGAAAUACUUCACGACGUCUGCUUACGUACAUGAUUUGUUGAUGUGGAGCCCAGCUUGCUAGCCAGAGUCGACUCGAAUUUACGCUUCUGCCUUCCGAGUCGCACACCGCGUGCCAUCGAAUCAUUUGUGUACCGCCUUCGACUAGACCUCCCUUUCAGCGGUACCCUGUUGUUCAAGAUGGGGAAGGUAAACUCGCCGAACUGCCUCACGUGUGAUGAGGUGGAGAACACUGAACAUAUAUUAAUCAACUGCUCCAGAUACAGUGUCCAACGUAAUGCCUUUAGAGCUGUGAGGUAUCUGGCAUUCGAGCCCAGCCGUUGACUUAUCUUCACACCGCGCCUUCGCACGGCGAGUUCAAGGCUUUCGCGUCUAAUAUUCCCACCCUAGUUUAUCUUUCCUGGCGGGCUUUGUCAAGAGGCAGUCCGCUCUUGGUACUCGUACAAUAAACAGCUCUCUGAUAGCGGCAGCUCGGCUCGUGCUCUGGUUCCUCUACGGAGUGUAAAGCACAACAUGGUGUCAGAAGUGGGAUCCACGGGUCUAUUCUUCGUAUAGCGUGGAUCUCUACAACUGUCCAAACUCCAAACCCUUAAACGUGAAGUAUGGCAACGCCCGUGACGACGACGUCGUACAAGAUAGCACCUCCAGACUCGUUCUCCUUCAAACACAACGAGUGGCCGGCAUGGAAGCGAAGAUUUCUUCGAUUUCUGUCACCUUCCGGAUUGCAAGGACAGAAAGAGACCAACUUGGUGGACACGCUCGUCUAUGUGAUGGGACAACUUCCUUCAAACGUUCCGAACGAGCCGAAGACAUCCUUCAAACGUUCAAGCUCAAAGCCGAGGAAUCAACCAACAUCACAAAGGUACUGGAAAAAUUCGAAGAGUAUUUCGUACCUAGACGAAACAUGAUUUACGAGCGAGCCCUGUUCAACACUCGAGUCCAAAAGGAAGCCGAAUCCGUGGAAGAUUUUGUAACUGCUCUCCACGUCUUAUCGUAAACUUGCGACUAUGGCGAGUUAAAAGAGGAUCUGAUCCGAGAUCGUCUGGUAGUAGGCGUCCUCGAUCGCAAGCUGUCAGAGAAGCUGCAGCUGGAUCCGGACCUCAACCUCCACAAAGCGUUGGUCACAGCCCGGCAGCAUGAAGCGGUCCGAAAGCAGCAGGCUCACCUUCGACCGGGUCCCGAAAAAGACGGCAACAUCGAUCGCAUUAUUAGACAUUCAGGGGGUAACAGGUAAACCACGAAGAAACACCACCAAAAAUCUUCAGAGAGCUCAGAGAACUCCAGAAGCAAGACAUGUCGUUGGUGCGACAGGGAUCCACAUCCGAGACAGCAGUGCCCUGUAAAAAAUGCGAUCUGCAACAAGUGCAAAAAGAAAGGGCAUUUCGCACUCGUGUGCAAAUCCUCCUCAACAGUGCACGCAAUUGAAGCACAGCAGGACGUUGGCUUCGUAGGCAUCGCUGGAGGAAAUGGCAGCACAAGAUGGGAUAUAUCAGUGCUCCUAAACGGUGGGCCACACCUUUUCAAAAUAGACACGGGAGCAGAUGAAACCGUUAUAUCUUAUGAAACGUUCUGCCAGCACCGUAAGCCAGGCAUCACGCUUACAAAGACAGCUUCGCGGUACCGACGGCAAACUAGUGAUGGGCAAGUCAGUUCAUUUUUGUGAACUAAUUCAUUUAGUUCAGUUCACUCCACUGAACUGUCUAAAAGAAUAGUUCAUUCGUUCACCUGUUCGCAAUUAAACACAAUCAAAGUAAUAUAGUCCCAAACUUUAAAGUGGCUCGACCAAGAGAGAUACAACAAAAUGAUCUUGCAAUUCAGUUUUCCAAAGGUUCGAGAACAUCAACAUAGCAAACGUAAUCUUUUAGGUCGCUUUUUUUAUUUUGCUUUAAAUUUCUACGUAUAUUUUUAACGAGAAAAGUAUUGCACAGAUCAAUAUGCAAGGUGCCGUCGUCGUUCAAUGUUACAAUCGUGUAUUUCUGAUCACUUACGUCUGCUUGCUGCGAACUUGAGAACACAGAAGUGUGAUAGAGUAACCGCAGUUUCAACUCAUUUCAUUCAAAUGCAUGAGAGAGCUUGAAGAAAAGUACAACGUCUAGCGUUGUGGAGGAAAAAUUGGGAAGCUUGCAGUGUAUUGCCGCAAAAAUAGCGUGCCCGCUCCAGGGUGUGCCAGUCACACAAGCAGUCAGCCAGAAGUCAGAACAUAACGGCGCCACUAGCAGUCCACAAUUGCGAGAAGGAGCUCAGAGCGAUCUCAGCGCAAUCAGUUCUAAAUGAUUUACUCUUGUUCAGCGUUCGCCGUUCAUAUAGUUCACUUGCCCACAGUACUUCAAUCCAUACGGCGUUCAAAGCCGCUCUGCUGGCUCUCCCUCCCCGCGCUUUUCCUUAAGCGCAUGCGCCGUGGACGAGUAACAGUUCUGACAGGCGCUGCGAGUACUUCCAAACGACCCGCGGCAUCGUUUAGUUCUUUAGUUCAUCCAGUUCUCUUCCUUCACACCUUCACACAGUCCACUCGAAGCUCUCCCUCCCCGCGCUUUUUCUUAAGCGCAUGCGCUGUGGACUAGCACCUUCUCUGACGGCCAACGGCAGACCCUGCGAGUGCUUCAAAACGUCCCGCGGCAUCGUUUAGUUCUUUAGUUCAUCCAGUUCUCUUCCUUCAAACCUUAACUAAGUCCACUUGAGGCUCUGCCUCGCCGCACCGCCCGCGCUCUUCCGUAAGCGCAUGCGCUGUGGACGAGCAGCAGUUCUGACAGGCAACGGCAGGCUCUGCGAGUCCUUCGAAACGACUCGCGAGUCGCGACGUCGUUUAGUUCUUUAGUUCAUCCAGUUCUCUUCCUUCACACAGUCCACUUCAGCGCAGCGUCACAGCCACUCAAGGCCACAGCGUAUGCGCCGUGGUCUCCCGUCCUUCUUCUUGCGCGCAUGUGCUUUGUUAGCUUUACAAAACGUUCGUUAAAUGGCGCAGAUGUCACACUUGGAAGCGUAUCAAAGCGUAUGCGUUGUGGGUGUCGAGGCCCAAUGAACUGAAUUGAGGAACUAAUGUUUUGGUUGUUGUUGAACUAGUUCGUUCAGUUCACCCGAAUGAGUUCAGUUUGAAGGGUUCGUCCACGAACGACACGUCACUACUGCAAACCACUCCAAAUCCAAGGAACGAUCGAUUGUGAGGCAAAAGUUAAAAAGGCUAAGGCUAAGGCAAAGGAUAAGUGGCAAAAAGGCAAAACAAGUGAUCUAUGUGGUGAAGGGACUUAAGAAGUCGUUACUUGGCAAACCACUAAUAGAAAAGUUUUGUUUGUUCACACAAGUGAACAACGUGGCUUCUACCCCUCGUGUCGAGGGUACCGAGACAGUCCACCUCUGCAAUCCGCGUAAGGACUUCCCUCAGUUCUUCAAAGGACUCGGUAACCUCAAGGAGGAAUGUACUCUUGUUCUCAAACAAGAUGCAAAACCGUAUGCUGCCGUUUCUCCGCGCCGCGUGCCGCUCCCUGUCUUCAAAAAGGCACGGGAAGAAUUAGAACGCAUGCAGAAACUUGGAGUUAUCUCACCAGUACAUGAGGCAACAGAAUGGUGUGCUCUAAUGGUGGUGGUCCCGAAACCGUCAGGAAACAUCCGUAUCUGCGUUGAUUUAUCAGAACUCAAUCAACAUGUGCACCGCGAAUGGCACCCCAUACGCUCAGUUUAGCAGACACUAUAGGACAGCUUUCAGGUGCAAACAUAUUCCCGCGGCUGGAUGCUAACUCUGGCUUUUGGCAAAUUCCUCUUAAUGAGAAUAGCCGACUGCUUACUACAUACAUCACACCGUUCGGGAGAUUUUGCUUCAAUCGCUUCCCAUUCGGCAUCAGUUCGGGGACAGAACACUUCCAGAAGAGAAUGGCGAGGAUCUUAGAAGGCCUCGAAGGGGUACUCUGCCAUAUGGAUGACGUCCUUAUCUACGGUUGUACAGAAGAGGAACAUUCCCAGCGACUGAGGAAAGUGCUACAACGAUUAGCCGACGCACAACGUACCCUGAAUUCCGAAAAGUGUGUUUUUGGAACUUCCAGCAUCACUUUCCUAGAACAUAGGAUAGACGACAAUGGCAUUCGACCGGAUAAUAGCAUCCUCAAGUCAGUACAGGAGAUGCCACCGCCAUCAAACAAGUGCGAACUCCGACGUGUACUUGGUGAAGGACUGCAACAUGUGCGCGCAACACCGCAUCAACAGGAAAAGGCCGCUAAUGCCUACAUCAUUUCCACAACGUCCGUGGGAAAAGCUAGCAAUGAAUUUGUUUUGCCUAAACGGACAAUGGUGGUUAAUUGUCACCGACUACUACUCGCGCUACCCUCAAAAUCGCGCGAUUAUCGAGUCUAUCGGCCGCAACGGUUGUGAACCACUGCAAGUCCAUUUUUGCACGACUUGGCAUACCGAACGAAAUAAUAUCGGAUAACGGACCCACAGUUCGCCGGUACAGAAUCAUCAAAAUUUCGUAAAUUCCCAGAGGAAUUGAAGUUCAAACACACCACUUCCAGGCCGAGAUAUCCCCAAAGCAACGGCAUGGCAGAGGCAGCUGUAAAGAUUAUCAAGGGAUCUAUGAAGAAAACGGGGGAUCCGUACGAAACGCUUCUUUCCUAUCGGUCAGCACCGCUCAAGAAUGGCUACAGCCCAGUCGAACUACUGAUGGGUAGACGAUUGCGAACUACACUUCCCGUAGCGGAAGAAAUGCUGCUACCCAAGAAGGUAGACCACGAGGCCGUAAAGUAGUGCGAAGAGCUACUGAAAAAGAGACAGAAACAACAGUUCGAUAGACACUACGGCGUUCGACCUCUCUCUGAUCUUGAUGGGGGUCAAGAUGUAUGGGUCAUCGAUGUACAAAGAAGAGGAUGCGUGAAAGGCUCAGCCUCAACACCACGUUCCUAUCUUGUGGAAACGGAGAGGGGAAAUCUUCGCCGCCAUCGGUCGCAUCUCAUCCUGCUGUCACAGAGUUCACGUGAUGACCAGAUGGCCGAAACUAUAGACCUCGCAGAUGCACAAAUGCAUGAAAGAAGUAGCACUUGUGAGGAUAUGUCUCACAUGCAUACCAGAAGUGGACUCUGCAUUACGUCAAAGGCUUUUCCUGAGUCAGAGACUUCAAAAAGAGGGGAAAUGUGAGAUAUCUGGCAUUCGAGCACAGCCGUUGACUCAUCUUUACACUGCGUCUUCUCACGGCGUGUUCAAGACUUUCGCGUCUCGUAUUCCCACCCUUGUUUAUCUUUCCUGGCGGGUUUUGUCUAGAGGCAGUCCGCACUUGGUACUCGUACAAUAAACAGCUCUCUUAUAGCGGCAGCUCGGCUCGUGCUCUGGUUCCUCUACGGAGUGUAACGCACAACAAGAGCCGCCUUGGAAAGACUGGAUCGCCAUCCUCUAGACUUAGGGAUGCUCCUCAGGGAAUGGCCGAGGGACCUAAGACAGCUGCUUUAAUGACAUUUCUUGUGGACAUUGCAGCGCCUCUAACUGUUUAGACUGACUCUUUUUUUUUGUCUCCAAGUGUUUUGGAGUAGCCGGCUCCUGUGUUUUCUAGGAGCCUCCAUCUCUAUAGUUUUCUUUUUAAUUCCAACUCCAUCCACGCGACAACAAUGUCCAUGAGGAAGAAAAUGUACAAAGGAGGAUGUGUGUGCAUGUGUACGCUCGCAGAAAAGGAUGACUAUCAUGUCAUACUAUGCCGCUGGAGGAUGGAGGAUGGAGUCGAGGAACAUGACGGCGUCUCGAUGUCUUGGAGGAGUGCGGUAAUUUCCAGCGCGAACAGCUCCAGCACAGGUUGAAGUUUGUGAAGCUGUAAGUGAGUGUCCCUCGUAGGUAACGGAUGCGCCACAGUCUAUACAGUCGAUUCAGCCCACCGAGUUCAUGAAAAUGAAAACGAUCCCGGGUAUGCUUGUAGGCACAUUAGCGUGCGUGUGCUACUUUUAAUUUGUGGUCGAUUCACUGUAGUUUUCAUCUUACAUGUUCUUUUAAGACUCAGAAAGUCUCUUUUAGCAAGCUUGGAAUCAUUUAUCGUCUAAUGCGCUACAGUGUGCUUCGACAGCGGAACUUCUACUUGGUCGGUGAGUUCCAGAGGUUGGAAAACACGAAGGCACAAUGAAAUCGGUAGCCGUUCAUAAGGCGACAAGGGACCGGAGGAUACAGUUGUGUCGCUAGCAGGGAAGACACGAGCUAAUUAUACUGCUGCAACGUCCAAGUGCCUACGUGUACAGAUAAGCAGAGGACCCAGCACAACCGCAAGCCAAUAGUCCAGAAGAUAAGCACGAGGGCUAUAGCAAGUUCAAGUCAACACCUAUGCCUUAUGUAUUUUGGGUAAUAAAGUGAUUCUAUUCCCCA